UCGUAACAAGGUUUCCGUAGGUGAACCUGCGGAAGGAUCAUUACCGAGUGUAGGGUUCCUAGCGAGCCCAACCUCCCACCCGUGUUUACUGUACCUUAGUUGCUUCGGCGGGCCCGCCAUUCAUGGCCGCCGGGGGCUCUCAGCCCCGGGCCCGCGCCCGCCGGAGACACCACGAACUCUGUCUGAUCUAGUGAAGUCUGAGUUGAUUGUAUCGCAAUCAGUUAAAACUUUCAACAAUGGAUCUCUUGGUUCCGGCAUCGAUGAAGAACGCAGCGAAAUGCGAUAACUAGUGUGAAUUGCAGAAUUCCGUGAAUCAUCGAGUCUUUGAACGCACAUUGCGCCCCCUGGUAUUCCGGGGGGCAUGCCUGUCCGAGCGUCAUUGCUGCCCAUCAAGCACGGCUUGUGUGUUGGGUCGUCGUCCCCUCUCCGGGGGGGACGGGCCCCAAAGGCAGCGGCGGCACCGCGUCCGAUCCUCGAGCGUAUGGGGCUUUGUCACCCGCUCUGUAGGCCCGGCCGGCGCUUGCCGAACGCAAAUCAAUCUUUUUCCAGGUUGACCUCGGAUCAGGUAGGGAUACCCGCUGAACUUAAGCAUAUCAAUAA
This 600-nucleotide unclassified non-coding RNA is filed under the name Aspergillus flavus. RNAcentral describes it as "sequence contains 18S rRNA gene, ITS1, 5.8S rRNA gene, ITS2, 28S rRNA gene". The stretch from base 226 to 379 matches the Rfam family "5.8S ribosomal RNA". The record is from RNAcentral. RNAcentral also lists the same sequence under 1 other name. Lineage: Eukaryota; Fungi; Ascomycota; Eurotiomycetes; Eurotiales; Aspergillaceae.